UACGUAGGUGGCAAGCGUUGUCCGGAUUUAUUGGGUUUAAAGGGUGCGUAGGCGGCUUAUUAAGUCAGUGGUGAAAUACUCUAGCUCAACUAGAGGGGUGCCAUUGAUACUGAUGAGCUUGAGUACAGAUGAGGUAGGCGGAAUUGACGGUGUAGCGGUGAAAUGCGCAGAUAUCAGGAAGAACACCCGUGGCGAAGGCGGCUCUCUGGGACGGUACUGACGCUGAGACGCGAAAGCGUGGGGAGCGAACAGG
This 253-nucleotide ribosomal RNA is filed under the name uncultured bacterium. Its description in RNAcentral is "partial 16S ribosomal RNA". It matches the Rfam family "Bacterial small subunit ribosomal RNA", at positions 524 to 776 of the family's 1533-position model. The record is from RNAcentral.